Molecule: small RNA, 67 nt
Filed under: Halobacillus halophilus DSM 2266
Lineage: Bacteria; Bacillati; Bacillota; Bacilli; Caryophanales; Bacillaceae
Description: Bacillaceae-1 RNA
Rfam family: Bacillaceae-1 RNA
Source: Rfam by way of RNAcentral
CACAGAAGAGGUUCGACUAAGAAUGUCACGUCAUGUAAGAACGUCGAACGACCCUGCGUCGUGCAGG